UGCCAGCAGCCGCGGUAAUACGGAGGGUGCAAGCGUUGUUCGGAAUCACUGGGCGUAAAGAGUGCGUAGGCGGAUCGAUAAGCAAAUCGUUAAAGGUAUAGGCUCAACCUAUGUAUAGCGGUUUGAACUGUCGGUCUAGAGUGAAAGAGAGGCAGGCGGAAUUCCUGGUGUAGAGGUGAAAUUCGUAGAUAUCAGGAGGAACACCGGCGGCGAAGGCGGCCUGCUGGCUUUUAACUGACGCUGAGGCACGAAAGCGUGGGUAGCGAACGGGAUUAGAUA
Molecule: ribosomal RNA, 279 nt
Filed under: uncultured bacterium
Lineage: Bacteria
Description: partial 16S ribosomal RNA
Rfam family: Bacterial small subunit ribosomal RNA
Source: RNAcentral